GGAUGCGUAGCUCAAUUGGAUAGAGCGUCUGACUACGGAUCAGAAGGUUGGGGGUUCGAUUCCUCCCGCGUUCA
RNAcentral lists this transfer RNA (74 nucleotides) under Marinilabiliales bacterium. RNAcentral's name for it is "tRNA-Arg". It matches the Rfam family "tRNA". From Rfam's summary of the family: Transfer RNA (tRNA) molecules are approximately 80 nucleotides in length. Their secondary structure includes four short double-helical elements and three loops (D, anti-codon, and T loops). Lineage: Bacteria; Pseudomonadati; Bacteroidota; Bacteroidia; Marinilabiliales. The record is from RNAcentral.